CAGCAGCCGCGGUAAUACGAAGGGGGCUAGCGUUGCUCGGAAUGACUGGGCGUAAAGGGCGCGUAGGCGGUUCACGCAGUCAGAUGUGAAAUUCCUGGGCUUAACCUGGGGGCUGCAUUUGAGACGCGUGGGCUUGAGUGUGAAAGAGGGUCGUGGAAUUCCCAGUGUAGAGGUGAAAUUCGUAGAUAUUGGGAAGAACACCGGUGGCGAAGGCGGCGACCUGGUUCACAACUGACGCUGAGGCGCGAAAGCGUGGGGAGCAAACAGGAUUAGAUACCCCCGUAGUCCCUGUCUCUUAUAA
This 301-nucleotide ribosomal RNA is filed under the name uncultured bacterium. Its description in RNAcentral is "partial 16S ribosomal RNA". It matches the Rfam family "Bacterial small subunit ribosomal RNA", at positions 509 to 809 of the family's 1533-position model. The record is from RNAcentral.